Molecule: ribosomal RNA, 253 nt
Filed under: uncultured bacterium
Lineage: Bacteria
Description: partial 16S ribosomal RNA
Rfam family: Bacterial small subunit ribosomal RNA
Source: RNAcentral
UACAGAGGUCCCAAGCGUUGUUCGGAUUCACUGGGCGUAAAGCGCGUGUAGGCUGCUUCGCAAGUCGGGUGUGAAAGCCCUGGGCUCAACCUAGGAAGUGCACUCGAAACUGCGAAGCUGGAGUCCUGGAGAGGAAGGCGGAAUUCUCGGUGUAGAGGUGAAAUUCGUAGAUAUCGAGAGGAACACCGGUGGCGAAGGCGGCCUUCUGGACAGUGACUGACGCUGAGACGCGAAAGCGUGGGUAGCAAACAGG